UACAGAGGUCUCAAGCGUUGUUCGGAUUCAUUGGGCGUAAAGGGUGCGUAGGCGGCGCGGUAAGUCGGGUGUGAAAUCUUGGAGCUUAACUCCGAAACUGCAUUCGAUACUGCCGUGCUUGAGGACUGGAGAGGAGACUGGAAUUUACGGUGUAGCGGUGAAAUGCGUAGAUAUUGGGAGGAACACCAGUGGCGAAGGCGGCUCACUGGACCGGUACUGACGCUGAGGCGCGAAAGCGUGGGGAGCAAACGGG
RNAcentral lists this ribosomal RNA (253 nucleotides) under uncultured bacterium. RNAcentral's name for it is "partial 16S ribosomal RNA". It matches the Rfam family "Bacterial small subunit ribosomal RNA", at positions 524 to 776 of the family's 1533-position model. The record is from RNAcentral.